ACAAAAAGAAUCAAAGAUUUCUGGACUGAAAAGGCGUGUGAAGGGAAAAUGAAAGACAAAAGAAAAACAACCCAAGUGG
This is a non-coding RNA of Caenorhabditis elegans, 79 nucleotides long. Lineage: Eukaryota; Metazoa; Nematoda; Chromadorea; Rhabditida; Rhabditidae. The record is from Ensembl.